AUCCAGCUGACGAGUCCCAGAUGAGACGAAAAGCGCGUCUUGUAU
Schistosoma mattheei is the source of this 45-nucleotide non-coding RNA. The record is from Rfam. NCBI's taxonomy places the organism in Eukaryota, Metazoa, Platyhelminthes, Trematoda, Strigeidida, Schistosomatidae.